This 256-nucleotide ribosomal RNA is filed under the name uncultured bacterium. RNAcentral's name for it is "partial 16S ribosomal RNA". It matches the Rfam family "Bacterial small subunit ribosomal RNA", at positions 524 to 776 of the family's 1533-position model. The record is from RNAcentral.
UACGUAGGGGGGCAAGCGUUGUCCGGAUUUAUUGGGCGUAAAGAGCGUGUAGGCGGCCUGAAAGGUCAGCUGUGAAAACUCGAGGCUCAACCUCGAGACGUCGGUUGAAACCAUCUGGCUAGAGUCCGGAAGAGGAGUGUGGAAUUCCCGGUGUAGCGGGUGAAAUGCGCAGAUAUCAGGAGGAACACCGGUGGCGAAGGCGGAUCUCUGGGCCAUUACUGACGCUGGAGGAGCGAAAGCGUGGGGAGCGAACAGG